This is a long non-coding RNA of Brienomyrus brachyistius, 2435 nucleotides long. RefSeq lists it as uncharacterized. The record is from RefSeq and is a predicted model, not a curated record. Lineage: Eukaryota; Metazoa; Chordata; Actinopteri; Osteoglossiformes; Mormyridae. The transcript is spliced from 2 exons.
UUGGUUCCUAAUGCGCACGCUUUUAUUGAUGGUUUUUAUGUGUUCAUUGCUUUUUAUGGAUUUUACUGCAACGCGGAGGGGUGGAUCUCCUGAACGUCUAUUGACAAUACAAGCGUUGGGUGUUGGCUGUACUUGCUCUCACGAAUUAAACAGUGGUUAGAAAACUUUUUUUUUUUUUUAUCGUUUUUGUCAUUUGCUCAAACACACACUUCACAUAAUACUACACAAAAAGCUGAAACUAUACAAGCAAAGCCCAAAAACCAGUCCCAAAAACACUGAACGCAGGGAUGAACUCGCUCAACCCUGAAAAAAACCUACAUACAACGCAAAUUACAAUGAGGAAUAGGGUGUGUGCUGGAAGGAAGAUCAUUAAAUGGUGGGAAUCAAAUCUUUGCUGGAUGAUCCAUGAUGGUGAAAAUGUUACCCCAUAUGACAGCAUACAGUAGGUAGUAUGGUUUGAGGGACUAUACUGUCUCUUUGGGGGUGGGACUAAAACAACACAAGGAGCCGAAUGUUAUUAGAUGGCUCAACAGUUGACUUUAACUCAUUCAAGUUUCUUGGCACUGUUCUCACCUCAAAUUUUAAAUGGGAUGGACAUCUUUCAAGUAUUAUGAAAAAAGGACAGAAUGUUCUUGCUGCAGCAGCUUAAGAAAUUCAGUCUUCCCAAACCUGUACUGGUUCUGUUCUACAUUGCAGUAGUCGAGUCCAUCCUCACAGUCUCUCUCAUCUGCGUUUAUGAUGCAAUGGCCCAAUCUAAAGACAAGUCACAGACCAUCAUCCAGUCUGCAAAGAAGAUCAUUGGCUGCAACAUCCCCUCAAUCCAGGAAGUGUAUGCAUCCAGAAUGAGGAAGCAAGCUGAGAAGAUCAUUGUUGAAUCCCUUUCAUGUUGUCUACUAGCUGUUCCAAACACUUCCCUCUGGAAAACACUACAGAACCAAAAAUGUGACCUCUGCUUAUAACUUAAAGAGCUUUUUUCCAAAAACAAUAUAUCUUACUAAUCAGAAAUGUUAUAUGCAGUAAUAAAUCACAACGCAAUAAUAGCUCCAUGGUAUUCUUUUAUAUAAUGUGCAAUAUAUUAUAUUGUUUCUGUAUUAUAUCAUGUUGUAUAUUGUGUGUUGCGUACAUUGUGUAUAUCAUGCAGUCUUAAUCCUAUAUACCUCGUAUACAAUUUUUAAAUUCUUUGGCGGUGUUCAAUAUUCAUUAAAUGCACUGGGGAGCAUACCAAGUCAUUUUGGACAAUUCAAUGCUUCCAACUUUGUGGGAACAGUUUGGGGAAGGACCUUUUCUGUUCCAGCAUGACUGUGCCCCAGUGCACGAAGUAAGGUCCAUAAAGACAUGGUUAGGUGAGUUUGGUGUGGAAGAACUUGACUGGCCCACACACAGCUCUGACGUCAACACCAUCAAACACCUUUGGAAUGAACUAGAAUGAACACCGCGAGCCAGGUCUUCACAUCCAGCUUCAGUGCCUGACUUCAUAAAUGCUUUUCUGGGUGAAUGGGCAAAAAUUCCCACAGACACCCUCCAAAAUCUUGUGGAAAGCCUUUCCAGAAGAGUGGCGGCUCUUAUAGCUGCGGAGGGGGGACCUGCUACAUAUUGAAGCCUAUGGAUUUAUGACAUUUCUUGUUUUUCACUGAAGAGACGGUUUCUCUCAUUAUUUGAUGAAGUCUGCAUGGUGAAAAUAGUCACUGUGUCUUCUAGACAUAGAAAAGCCAUUACUACACAAUUAUGCUGUGAGAUUCACCUGCUUUCAUUGUGAAAUGUUCUCGUAAUUCUAAUUACAGCAUGCAGACUCAAACUGGCUGCCCAGCUUCUCGCAUGGUCAUUGACAUAGUUGAUGACACUAAAAUCCACUAAAAUCACUUAUAUCUCACGUGCUGUUUCUGCUGCUCCCUCAUCGACUGCAUAUUUCACUACCUCUUCCCCUCUGCACUCUUUCUUGUUCCGUUUAGUUCCCCCGGCUUUUUGUCUCACAUCUAUUCACUAAAGUAUAUAUAGGGAAUCGAGUGAAUAAUUUUAGUUGUUUGUGUUUGCACAGGUGAUACAGGUUUUUAUUGCAUUAGCUGAUUAUGCUUUGAUGGCUGACUGAGGUGUUUCUCCAAAAGGAACAAUUGAGUUGACCUCACAGUGAUAUCAGUGCUGAUGUAGUGAGAUGUGUGCAGAGAUGUGCAAAAGGAUGCCAGCAUCGCAUGGCCAUGUUGAAACAACAAUAUACAGUACUGUGCAAAAGUCUUAGGCAGCCAAAGAAAAUGGUUUGAAUGGUCUUUAUGUUGGUGUAAAACUGCGCUGUUAUGUCUGUCAAAGUGUGUCAGCUUAGCCAUUUCAAAAUCUGCUAAAAUUACCCCAGUAUUUACAGCAACCAUGCAAUAUACCUCUGUAUUUUUUUACUUGACCACUCACACACUUUGUAUGGCUAAUCAAUAAAAAUUACUUUUAAA